UACGUAGGUGGCAAGCGUUGUCCGGAAUUACUGGGUGUAAAGGGAGCGUAGGCGGGAAAGCAAGUUGAAUGUUUAAGGUACGGGCUCAACCUGUACAAGCGUUCAAAACUGUUUUUCUUGAGUGGAGUAGAGGUAAGCGGAAUUCCUAGUGUAGCGGUGAAAUGCGUAAAUAUUAGGAGGAACACCAGUGGCGAAGGCGGCUUACUGGGCUUUAACUGACGCUGAGGCUCGAAAGCGUGGGUAGCAAACGGG
RNAcentral lists this ribosomal RNA (252 nucleotides) under uncultured bacterium. Its description in RNAcentral is "partial 16S ribosomal RNA". It matches the Rfam family "Bacterial small subunit ribosomal RNA", at positions 524 to 776 of the family's 1533-position model. The record is from RNAcentral.